Molecule: ribosomal RNA, 253 nt
Filed under: uncultured bacterium
Lineage: Bacteria
Description: partial 16S ribosomal RNA
Rfam family: Bacterial small subunit ribosomal RNA
Source: RNAcentral
UACGUAGGGGGCAAGCGUUGUCCGGAUUUACUGGGCGUAAAGAGCGUGUAGGCGGCCGAACAGGUCCGGUGUGAAAACUGGAGGCUCAACCUCCAGACGUCGACGGAAACCGUAUGGCUAGAGUCCGGAAGAGGAGAGUGGAAUUCCUGGUGUAGCGGUGAAAUGCGCAGAUAUCAGGAAGAACACCUAUGGCGAAGGCAGCUCUCUGGGACGGUACUGACGCUGAGACGCGAAAGCGUGGGGAGCGAACAGG